CUUUAUUCACCCGCUUCGGCUGUUAUCAGUCCAUACAAUGGGCGUUAUUAGCAGAAAUCAGUCCCAUAGAUGUGGGCCAUCUCCACCUGCUAGAUUGUUCAGAAGGUUGUUCUCAUCCAUCCAGAUGGAGGAUCACUAACAGGAGCGUGGAAGACUCCAGAAUCCACUCUGGCUGGAAUCCGGUGGAUACAGCAGUGUUACAGAACAGUUCUCCACAGUCACUGUCCACAUGGGUCAGUGGGACCACGCAGCACUCUGCUAAUGUGUGGACUCUGACCAGCAACAUCCAGCAAGACCCAGACAGCGUUUUCUAUCUCCCAGCUGGAGUUUUUUGUUUGUCUGUGACUGGAGAGUCACAGAUUUUUGUUGAGGCUGGAGGAACAGCCUCACACUCGCAGAGGUUAAUACACGCUACUGAUCCCUGAUGGGAGAAUCAUCACCUCUGCCAACAAAGAAGCCUGCUGGAUGUUUGUUUACAGACUGAUGAUGGGACAUCAUGCUCUGCAUCUUCAAAGUUUGUCUCUUGAUUAUUAUUCAUACACAGUAAUGUGAAGUAUGCUCAUAUCUAGUAUAACGGGACCAACGUGGUGCUCUUCAUUUAUGGAGGCUGUUGAGUCUGAAUGUUGGAUGUUGUGUAUCUCUUGUUCUCUGGGCUUUGUUGUCCUCAGUCUUUUUGCAGGAUCAGAAAACAAAACCAGGAUGACCGUAAAUGUUUCUUCUCCAAUUGGAUGAUGAUAAGACUGUGACACGGGAUGCCACCUUUAGUCUUGUGAUGAAGCAAAGCUCAGGAAAAAGUGUGAUUAAAUGGUACCCACAUGUGUGCUGCUGAGAAGGAUGUACAGGGGCACCUGCAGCCAAAUCCAAGCCUCCUCAGCAACUUCAAGUCUGUCAGCGUGCUGAGGUCACAGAAACAAGAAAAGCAGCUUCAGACUUCAGAGUGUUGUUUACAGUUUUCUGUCAUCAUGAUCUCCCCUGAAGUUUAUCACUAUUAGGCAAGCAAGCAGAGCGGCCGUUUGUGCUCACAGAUGGUGACGGUGUGGAGAGACGGUGGUGUUUCCUCAGAAGAACUAGCAGAGUCACAAAGGGCACGAGUCCUUCUCACCACCUUGACUUGCUGACUGAUGCUCGUCUGCACUGCACAGAGGAAAUCAAC
Molecule: long non-coding RNA, 1153 nt
Organism: Oreochromis aureus
Lineage: Eukaryota; Metazoa; Chordata; Actinopteri; Cichliformes; Cichlidae
Source: Ensembl